This 494-nucleotide ribosomal RNA is filed under the name uncultured bacterium. RNAcentral describes it as "bacterial SSU rRNA". It matches the Rfam family "Bacterial small subunit ribosomal RNA", at positions 28 to 477 of the family's 1533-position model. The record is from RNAcentral.
GAUGAACGCUGGCGGCGUGCCUAAUACAUGCAAGUCGAACGCAUUGUGGUUGAAAUGAUAUGAAGAACUUGUUCAGAUUUGAUUUUCAACAUUGCAAUGAGUGGCGAACGGGUGAGUAACACGUGGGGAACCUACCUCUUAGCAGGGGAUAACAUUUGGAAACAAAUGCUAAUACCGUAUAAUAAUUAAAACCGCAUGGUUUUAGUUUAAAAGAUGGUCUUGCUAUCACUAAGAGAUGGUCCCGCGGUGUAUUAGUUAGUUGGUGAGGUAAUGGCUCACCAAGACAAUGAUACAUAGCCGAGUUGAGAGACUGACCGGCCACAAUGGGACUGAGACACAGCCCAUACUCCUACGGGAGCAGCAGUAGGGAAUCUUCCACAAUGGACGAAAGUCUGAUGGAGCAACGCCGCGUGUGUGAUGAAGGGUUUCGGCUCGUAAAACACUGUUGUAAGAGAAGAAUGACAUUGAGAGUAACUGUUCAAUGUGUGACGGUA